This 442-nucleotide ribosomal RNA is filed under the name uncultured bacterium. Its description in RNAcentral is "partial 16S ribosomal RNA". It matches the Rfam family "Bacterial small subunit ribosomal RNA", at positions 338 to 795 of the family's 1533-position model. The record is from RNAcentral.
CCUACGGGAGGCAGCAGUAGGGAAUCUUUCACAAUGGGCGAAAGCCUGAUGGAGCAACGCCGCGUGCAGGAUGAAGGCCUUCGGGUUGUAAACUGCUUUUAUAAGCGAGAAAUAUGAUGUUAACUUAUAAUUAGGAAUCGCCUAACUCCGUCCCAGCAGCCGCGGUCAUACGUAGGAUCCGAGAAUUAUCCGGAGUGACUGGGUGUAAAGAGUUGAGUAGUUGGCAUAAUAAGUAGCUAGUGAAAUCUGGUGGCUCAACCAUUCAGACUAUUAGCUAAACUGUUAAGCUCGAGACCGUUAGGGGUAACUGGAAUUUCUAGUGUAGGAGUGAAAUCCGUAGAUAUUAGAAGGAACACCAAUAGCGUAGGCAGGUUGCUGGGACGGUUCUGACACUAAGGCACGAAAGCGUAGGGAGCAAACGGGAUUAGAUACCCGAGUAGUC